RNAcentral lists this unclassified non-coding RNA (160 nucleotides) under soil metagenome. RNAcentral's name for it is "partial internal transcribed spacer 1". The record is from RNAcentral.
AAGAGACGUUGCCCUUCGGGGUAUACCUCCCACCCUUUGUUUAUUAUACCUUUGUUGCUUUGGCGGGCCCGUCCUCGGACCACCGCUUCUGCUGGUCAGUGCCCGCCAGAGGACCUAAAACUCUGUUUGUUAAUAUUGUCUGAGUACUAUAUAAUAGUUA